RNAcentral lists this ribosomal RNA (433 nucleotides) under uncultured Pseudomonas sp. Its description in RNAcentral is "bacterial SSU rRNA". It matches the Rfam family "Bacterial small subunit ribosomal RNA", at positions 952 to 1382 of the family's 1533-position model. Lineage: Bacteria; Pseudomonadati; Pseudomonadota; Gammaproteobacteria; Pseudomonadales; Pseudomonadaceae. The record is from RNAcentral.
CGAAGACAACGCGAAGAACCUUACCAGGCCUUGACAUGCAGAGAACUUUCCAGAGAUGGAUUGGUGCCUUCGGGAACUCUGACACAGGUGCUGCAUGGCUGUCGGUCAGCUCCGUGUCGUGAGAUGUUGGGUUAAGUCCGUAACGAGCGCAACCCUUGUCCUUAGUUACCAGCACGUUAUGGUGGGCACUCUAAGGAGACUGCCGGUGACAAACCGGAGGAAGGUGGGGAUGACGUCAAGUCAUCAUGGCCCUUACGGCCUGGGCUACACACGUGCUACAAUGGUCGGUACAAAGGGUUGCCAAGCCGCGAGGUGGAGCUAAUCCCAUAAAACCGAUCGUAGUCCGGAUCGCAGUCUGCAACUCGACUGCGUGAAGUCGGAAUCGCUAGUAAUCGUGAAUCAGAAUGUCACGGUGAAUACGUUCCCGGGCCUU